This 810-nucleotide small RNA is filed under the name Pongo abelii (Sumatran orangutan). RNAcentral's name for it is "retained intron". The record is from RNAcentral. Lineage: Eukaryota; Metazoa; Chordata; Mammalia; Primates; Hominidae.
GGAGGUCCUGAGAACCUGAGUUUCGGCAAGCAACCAGGUCUGGAAACUGUGAGUGUGUGGGCUUUUCUCCGACGUCGAGCGUGGUCCUAGCGUAAACAGAUGCAUUCGCCUCUCCGGUUUCAAUCUUUUUUUACGUUCGCGCUUUCCUCAAGGCCGGUGGGUCAGGAGUGGAGCCUUAGUCAUUCUAACGCUAGAGGUGUCAGUAGGGCCAACAGAGUCUGGUCCCUGCACGGCUUGCUGUUGCGCGCUCUCCUAGGCCUCAACUUCCUCUCAACUGUGUGGUCAGUUCAGGCCGGGAAUCCAAUCUUUUCCGAGCUCCAUAUUUUAUCCACUUGGUGGCGUCCAGUCCCAAGUCCGGCAGUUGAAUUCCGCCCUAAAGAUGGGCUUUAUUUCUAUCGUUUUUUAGAUAACAGGACAUUCAGUUAGUAAUGAUGGUUGCAGGUUGAAUACUCUCGCCCUAGAGCUCACCUAACUUGCAGAAUAUUUUAAAAAUGACUACACCAAACAAGACACCUCCUGGUGCUGACCCCAAGCAGUUGGAAAGGACUGGAACAGUACGGGAAAUUGGGUCACAAGCUGUUUGGUCACUCUCAUCUUGCAAACCAGGAUUUGGAGUGGAUCAGUUACGAGAUGACAAUCUAGAAACUUAUUGGCAAUCAGAUGGUUCCCAGCCUCAUUUAGUGAACAUCCAAUUCAGGUAAUUAAUACAUUUUCAAAUUUUUCAUCUAGUGUAGGUUAUAGACAAAUCUAUUUUAUUAACAUAAAAAUUAAAGAUAGAAAUUACAAUGAAAUACACUUAACUUUUUAAAC